RNAcentral lists this ribosomal RNA (888 nucleotides) under uncultured bacterium. RNAcentral describes it as "bacterial SSU rRNA". It matches the Rfam family "Bacterial small subunit ribosomal RNA", at positions 9 to 916 of the family's 1533-position model. The record is from RNAcentral.
GAGUUUGAUCCUGGCUCAGGAUGAACGCUGACAGAAUGCUUAACACAUGCAAGUCGACUGGAAUUCACCUUCGGGUGAUAGUACGGUGGCGGACGGGUGAGUAACGCGUAAAGAACUUGCCCUCUAGACUGGGACAACUGUUGGAAACGACAGCUAAUACCGGAUAUUAUGGGAACCUCGCAUGGGGAACUUAUGAAAGCUAUAUGCGCUAGAGGAGAGCUUUGCGUGCCAUUAGGUAGUUGGUAGGGUAAUGGCCUACCAAGCCGACGAUGGCUAGCCGGCCUGAGAGGGUGAUCGGCCACAAGGGGACUGAGACACGGCCCUUACUCCUACGGGAGGCAGCAGUGGGGAAUAUUGGACAAUGGGCCACAAGCCUGAUCCAGCAAUUCUGUAUGCACGAUGAAGGUUUUCGGAUCGUAAAGUGCUUUCAGUAGGGAAGAAAAAAUGACGGUACCUACAGAAGAAGCGACGGCUAAAUACGUGCCAGCAGCCGCGGUAAUACGUAUGUCGCAAGCGUUAUCCGGAAUUAUUGGGCGUAAAGCGCGUCUAGGCGGCCUUUUAAGUCUGAUGUUAAAAUGCGGGGCUCAACUCCGUAUUGCGUUGGAAACUGGAAGGCUAGAGUAUCAGAGAGGUGGGCGGAACUACAAGCGUAGAGGUGGAAUUCGUAGAUAUUUGUAGGAAUGCCGAUUGGGAAGCCAGCUCACUGGAUGAAUACUGACGCUGAAGCGCGAAAGCGUGGGGAGCAAACGGGAUUAGAUACCCCGGUAGUCCACGCCGUAAACGAUGAUCACUAAGUGUGGGGGGUCGAACCUCCGUGCUCAAGCUAACGCGAUAAGUGAUCCGCCUGGGGAGUACGCACGCAAGUGUGAAACUCAAAGGAAUUGACGG